UGAGGGUCAGCACACACCACCUAUACCAGUAAUUACUGGGUUUUAGUCAAAAUUACAAAUGAGCCAUCCAGACCCAGCAUCGCGCAGUUCAAAUCUCACCAAGAAGCAGCAGCAGCAAAGCCAAAAUCCACCCGUCCUGAAUAUUAUUUCCACGCGGUACUGUUUUGAAUCCCUGGAGGCACUUGUCGAUGCCAGUUGUCGAGAAACA
This 208-nucleotide unclassified non-coding RNA is filed under the name Hevea brasiliensis (rubber tree). Lineage: Eukaryota; Viridiplantae; Streptophyta; Magnoliopsida; Malpighiales; Euphorbiaceae. The record is from RNAcentral.